Molecule: ribosomal RNA, 878 nt
Filed under: uncultured bacterium
Lineage: Bacteria
Description: bacterial SSU rRNA
Rfam family: Bacterial small subunit ribosomal RNA
Source: RNAcentral
AGUCGAACGAGAGAAGAGAAGCUUGCUUUUCUGAUCUAGUGGCGGAGGGUGAGUAACACGUGAGCAAUCUGCCUUUCAGAGGGGGAUACCGAUUGGAAACGAUCGUUAAUACCGCAUAAUAUAAUUGAACCGCAUGAUUUGAUUAUCAAAGAUUUAUCGCUGAAAGAUGAGCUCGCGUCUGAUUAGCUAGUUGGUAAGGUAACGGCUUACCAAGGCGACGAUCAGUAGCCGGACUGAGAGGUUGAUCGGCCACAUUGGGACUGAGACACGGCCCAGACUCCUACGGGAGGCAGCAGUGGGGAAUAUUGCACAAUGGAGGAAACUCUGAUGCAGCGAUGCCGCGUGAGGGAAGAAGGUUUUAGGAUUGUAAACCUCUGUCUUCAGGGACGAAAAAUGACGGUACCUGAGGAGGAAGCUCCGGCUAACUACGUGCCAGCAGCCGCGGUAAUACGUAGGGAGCGAGCGUUGUCCGGAAUUACUGGGUGUAAAGGGAGCGUAGGCGGGAUCGCAAGUCAGAUGUGAAAACUAUGGGCUUAACCCAUAAACUGCAUUUGAAACUGUGGUUCUUGAGUGAAGUAGAGGUAAGCGGAAUUCCUAGUGUAGCGGUGAAAUGCGUAGAUAUUAGGAGGAACAUCAGUGGCGAAGGCGGCUUACUGGGCUUUAACUGACGCUGAGGCUCGAAAGCGUGGGGAGCAAACAGGAUUAGAUACCCUGGUAGUCCACGCCGUAAACGAUGAUUACUAGGUGUGGGGGGACUGACCCCUUCCGUGCCGCAGCAAACGCAAUAAGUAAUCCACCUGGGGAGUACGACCGCAAGGUUGAAACUCAAAGGAAUUGACGGGGGCCCGCACAAGCAGUGGAGUAUGUGGAUUUAAUUC